UUGAGCUCAGAUCAGGUAGGACUACCGCCUGAACUUAAGCAUAUCAAUAAGGCGAGGAACAGAAACCAACAGGGAUUCCCCUAGUAGUGGCGAAUGAACCGGGAAAAGCUCAAGUUUGAAAUCUGGUUUAACCAGAGUUGUAAGCUGAUGAGGCGUCGACCGACGCGGUUCGGGCUCAAUUUCCUUGGAAUAGGAGGUCAUAGAGGGUGAGAACCCCGUCUGUGGCUCGAGUGCCGUCGUCCUUGUGUCGUGCCCUCUAAGAGUCGGGUUGUUUGGGAAUGCAGCUCAAAAUGGGUGGUAAAUUUCAUCUAAGGCUAAAUACUGGCGAGAGACCGAUAGGAAACAAGUAGAGUGAUCGAAAGAUGAAAAGUACUUUGAAAAGAGAGUGAAACAGUGCGUGAAAUUGUUGAAAGGGAAGCGUUUGGCAUCAGCCCGUGGCCGUCGUCGAUCAUCCGGGCUUCUGUCCGGUGCACUCGUCGACGGUCGGGCCAGCGUCGGCUCUGCCUGUCGGAGAAAGGUCUUGGGGACGUGCCCGCCCUCGGGCGGUGUUAUAACCCGGGACGUCAUGCGAUUGGUGGGGCCGUGGUCUGCGGUCUGUACCU
Molecule: ribosomal RNA, 602 nt
Filed under: uncultured fungus
Lineage: Eukaryota; Fungi
Description: eukaryotic LSU rRNA
Rfam family: Eukaryotic large subunit ribosomal RNA
Source: RNAcentral